AAUCAACGCUGGCGGCGCGCUUAACACAUGCAAGUCGAACGAGAAAGCCCGAGCAAUCGGGUGAGUACAGUGGCGUACGGGUGAGUAACACGUGGAUGAUCUACCUCUUAGUGGGGAAUAACUCUGGGAAACCGGAGCUAAUACCGCAUAAGCCUGGAAAGGGAAAGCGUCGUUUCAAAAAUAGACACGCUGAGAGAGGAGUCCGCGGCCGAUUAGCUAGUUGGCAGGGUAAAAGCCACCAAGGCAUUGAUCGGUAGCCGGCCUGAGAGGGCACACGGCCACACUGGCACUGAAACACGGGCCAGACUCCUACGGGAGGCAGCAGUGGGGAAUCUUGCACAAUGGGGGCAACCCUGAUGCAGCGACGCCGCGUGAGCGAUGAAGCCCUUCGGGGGUGUAAAGCUCUUUCGGCAGGAACGAUAAUGACGGUACCUGAAGAAGAAGCUGCGGCUAACUACGUGCUAGCCGCCGCAGUAAU
This 478-nucleotide ribosomal RNA is filed under the name uncultured bacterium. RNAcentral's name for it is "bacterial SSU rRNA". It matches the Rfam family "Bacterial small subunit ribosomal RNA", at positions 32 to 524 of the family's 1533-position model. The record is from RNAcentral.